GACCUUCUAAUUUUUAUUUCUCUCAUCAGCUCUUAGCAGCCCGCAAAACAGCCUCUGAAGUUACACAGAGACUUCAGGGAGAGAAGCUCUGCGUGUUGCCCUCUAUGAAAUUAAGCCACAGUUGUUCAUCUGUUCAACAAAGUCUGCCUGCUAUGCAAUCUGUGGCUCUCUGGGGCCGGGGUGAUGAAGAAAACCUGCUGGCUGUGAAACAGAAGGGGAGUUGUUUUCUUUCAUGGCGCUACUUUUCAGUGUGAGCAAGCAUAUUUCUGGUUAAAAAGAAGGAGGAGAAAACUUCCUCUUGCAAUCCCUUAAAUCGAGGAGAAAUCUUUAAAAACUUAAAAUUUUCCUCCUACAACGUGGUAAUAUUUUUCCUAAAGUGGGGAUGCAGGUUGCCUCAGAAAGAAAAAAACAGUCAAGUUCUCUCCAGCCCCAUUUUCGAAUCCGAUCCCAGGCAUUCCUUUUGAGGGCAGUUGGGUGUUUGCCCAGGAAGUUCAGCCGCAGCCAAGAUUCACUCACACCUGGGAUAUAUAACCUCCUGGAGAAGGCGUGGGAAGAAGCCUGGCGUUUCUGGAAGACCUACUUUGUGCCGGCCACUGUGCUCGGCCCUUCACAUUAUCACAUUCAUAGCACAAGCACUGGGAAGUCGUCACGGCCGUUCUGCCCAUUUUACAGAAGGAAGCGAAACCUCGGGGUGGUUACGUACCUCACCCGAGGUCAUACUCUGUACACACUCAACAGGCAGGGGCCUGAAGCAGCCCUUUGGGUGGCCUAAGGUUCUCUGGAGGUGUCUGGCUGGUUCGCACUUGGGGUCUCAGGCACCUGCAGUUAGAUGUUGGCUGGGGCUGCAGGUACGUGGAGGCUCCACCGAGCUGGAUGUCCCCACACCCCUUGGUUGAACAAAUGAAAGCUGGAGCCGUCACUCAAAGUGUCACAGGGAGCCUCUCCGCCAGGGGCUGUCCCGAGAGCGAGCGCUCGGAGAGGCGGGGGCAGAAGCUGCAGGUCCCCUCUGGUGCCAGCCCAGCACUUCUACUGCUCACUCUUGGCCAAAGCGAACCACAGGCCCAGCCAAGGGAAGGAACAUGGGGAAUGGACUCCAUCUCUUCAGGGGAGGAGGCGUGAAAAGAAUAUGCAGCCAUCCUUAAUCUACCAUACCUGGAAAGUGGUGAAGCCAGGAUCCGAAUCCAGGUCACCUGGCUCCUUCCUUCAUAGUCACCUUCAGACCUCACUGUGCACCUGCUCAGCUACCGGAAAUGGCCGUUACUGAUUCUGGUGUUUGAAAAGGCAGUCAGGUGGCAAUAUCAACUCCACUUAGAUACUUCCUGUUAAGGAUGCCAGUGGCGUCUGCACCAAGCAGGGAGCUGCCGUCUUUUCUAACAGAAGAUUCCUCAGCUGUGCUGUCUGGUGCUAUGAUACCAAGGUGUGAUGGGUUUCACUGGGGUAUAAGAAAAGCCCAGUCAUCCUGGCGCACCGAGCUUCGGUCAAGACAGGUCAGUAAGGAGCAUCUUUGGAAAAUGGGGGCAUUGUCCCCAGAGGGACUGGAGGGGACUCUAUUCCUUUGGCUCCCCUGCAGUUUCUGUCCCUCCCUCGGACAUCUCAUUGACGCCUGCACCAUGCCCGGCAUUGGCUCCUCCCACAUUAAUAAGCACCACCCUUCCCUGGCCCCCUACCCCUCUCCUCUGCGAGGCUCCCAGAGCCCCCCUCUGGUGCAGAGCCUUCUGCUUCAAGUAUCCAUUGACUAAAGAAACCUUGCUGUUAAAUUUGAGAAAAAGAUUUCAAAGCUGAGGGGAGGAGGCAACUUAGAGAAUCUUCAUGCUGCAAAUUGGAGAGUUUAAAACCUAAUUACUGUCCGCACUCAGCCUCAAAAGGCCUCCGUCGAUAUUUAUUGAAUGAUUGAGCAAACUUUACAUUCACACUGUUGGUAAAUAAAAGGAUUUUCCUAAUAAGCAAAUCAUUAGAAGAGAUUGCAAGAAGGAGUUUAACUUAAUUAAGAGGAUACUUCCCAACCUUUUGUUUUAUCCAUUCCAAAUAAUAGGCUUCCUUAGAAUUUUCAAGUGUGCCUUAGGUAUUUGUUAAAAAAAGUCUAAGACUUGUCUCCAUUAGAUAAGAUUUCGUAUCAGUUAGUUUGUGUCGGCACUUAAAAGUAAUAACAGUGAAUGUCUUGUAAAUGGCCCUUCUCCUAACUUUCUACCAAUUCAAAAUGAUAAUAACUUCUUUCAUCCACCAAACACCCAGAAAGCAUCCUGGCAAAGUAGAUCUUGAGAAUACAGCUUAGUGUCUUCAUGGGUCCAGUAGAGGUAGUCAUGGCAACUGCAUCAGAAAGCAGCCAUUGAGACUUCAAUGAGAUCGUGACAGGAAAAUAUUUUGACGAAUUUACAAUUUUUUUUUUUUAAACUGUAUUUAUUUCCUAGCGUCUCUCACCCUCCUCCUGAUCUGGUCUGUAGUCUUUCCUUAUCAUCGCCUUGAAGUCAGCUAGCUUUUAUUGCCUCAGGGGAGGAGUGAUAAGGCAGAAAAGCCACAAAACUACCUAGGAGUGGUACAAAUGAGGCCUUUGGCACUGGAAAUUUAACCCUUGAGUGAUGGAAGCAUCAAUUUUGGGGCAUAAAUGUUAAACACGGAAAAACAGAGAAGUAGGCCUACAAAGAUUACCAAGGCUAUGGAAGGGAGGAGAGAAACCAAGGGGAGGCCAAACAUCAGCAGUAGUGUCCCUGAGAAAGAGGACUGCCCCGGGGAGGUGGGGCAGCGGAGCCUCCUGGCUCCUGGGCAGUAGACUUCGUCAGGCAGAAGGGCUGAGCGGAGAGGUGGGAGUGUUAGGAUCUCUCCAGGUGCCGGAAACUGUGGCUUGUUCUCGGUAAAGUGGGAGGUAGUUUUGAGGUAGCAGAGAAAACUAUGGCUUUGAGGUGUGGAGCCAAGGAGUAACCCAGGCAGGGGCCUGAUGGAAUGUCAAGUCUGGCAGUUCGGAUUGAUAAAGUUAAUUUGUACAUCGGGACCCACAAAAUGGAGGCUCACGUCACAAAUCUAAACCCAGGUCUGUGCUUAGGAAAAACAUCUGUCAAGGAAACCUAACAUGCACCAAUCACAGUCCUCCAACUCAGCUUCAGCUAGCUUACCUUACCCUAGGAAACAGGACCUGCCAACUUGAGAAGGAAACCCUCAUCAAUCGUGCCCUGUUUCCGCAUUGCCCCUUCUAACACCCUAUAAAGCUCACUCUCGCCCAAACACCCUUGGGAACAGUGCUCUGCUGCUAGUGAGGCAUGACUCCCCCCAUCCACGGAUUGUUUUUGCCUUGCAUAAAGGACAUUAAACUCCAAUUGUUCACUUGAAAGGAUGUAAUGGCAGAGGCCACUAUGAGUGGAUGAACACCAGGACAUCAAAUCCCAGCUACUUCCCAUCACCUGGAAACUCAGACAAAACCUGGCAUAGAGCAGGAGCCAAAAUCAUCUGGAAUUAAGUUUCUGCCACCCAGCAGAAUGGGCAUUAAAACUAGAAGUAAAAACCAUUUAUUCAAUUCUAUGUAUUUCAUCCAGACCAUGAGAUCUGCCCCAACCCUAAGAUAGUGAUUUAAGUGCCUCAUUAUAUAAUAUGUGCUCAAUAAAUGCUAGGUACUAUUAUUACCUUCAAGACAAGACAUUGAAGAAAGUCCUAUUACACACUGUAAGAAAGGCCUAUUACCAGAUGUGAGGGCAAUCUGGCUGAGACAUCUGUCAUCCCACUGAUCACCAGGGUUGAUUUGGCUGAUCUGGCUGGCUAGGUGAGUGUCCCCUUCUUCCCUCACUACUCAGUGUGUCCCUCCUGAAGCUAUACACUCAGCCGAAGAGGAUGACCUUCCCCCGUAGAGGAGGACUGUUCCUUGGGUCAAGGGUCUACGAGUAGCUGCGCUCCUGCUAGAAUAUCCAAACAAGUUCUCAAGGUCCAUUUGUAGAAGAACCUAGGAUAGUCAAGCUUCCAAGACUCCAGACACAUCCAAAUGAGGUGCUGCCUGUGGCAGUCUACUUUUCUUUGAAAAAGAAAGAAAGAGGGGCGCCUGGGUAGCUCAGUUAAGUGUCUGACUCUUGGUUUUGGCUUAGGUCAUCAUCUCAGGGUCAUGGGAUCCAGCCCCGAGUCGGGCUCUGAGCUCAGUGUGAUGUCUGCUUGAGAUUCUCUCUCCCUCUCCCUCUGCCCCCACCCCUGCUCUCUCUCUCUCAAAUAAAUAAAUAAAUCUUAAAAAGAAAAGAAGGAAGAAAGAAAGAUAGGCCUAUUACCUUCUCUUAGAGACCCAAAAGGGGGGGGUCAUGUUAUUCUUGCCAAGGGACACUCAAGUUAGUACUAUGAACAGUCAUGAUGGGAAGAUGGCUGUUGACAACCCAGAGAGCACAGCAAAGGAGAGCCUCCAUGACUUGUUUUUUAAAGACUGACUUGACUACUUAUGGUCUUCUAUGGAAACCACUAUAUAGUCAUCAAAAUCAACUUCCGUUUGGGAACACAGUGAGACUACAUUUCCCAGUUCUCCGGGGAAGGUAGGUGGGAUCAUUUGACCAAUUCUGGCCAAUGGAAUGGGGUAGAAGUGAGAGGCUACUUCCUGCUCCCUUAAAGCCUUUCAUGUGAUCCUCUACAACUGGAGCCAAAGUAUUCUGAGGACCCAGGAAACAGGCAGAGCCUUGGUUCCUGAGAAGCCCCUUGGAGGAGAGCCGUAAGAGUAGGAAACUUGGGUUGGAUUAUUCCUAAGUGAGAAGUAAACUUUCCUUGGUUUAAGCCAUUGAUGGCUGUUUGACAUAGAAGUCAACUCUAAGACACACUGUAUAUGUUAGAGUAAGGGUGUUGAGUUCCUUCCAAACGGGACUGUGACUCCCCACCUCGGAAACCCCACGUUCGAUGCUGUUACUGCAUCCGGCCUUUUUAGCGGCCUUCCCAGAGGUCCAAGACUGGGUGAGUACAGCAGCAGCUUGCUUGCCUUGUUCUUCGGGAUUUAGACACUUAAGAGAGUGAACAUGAAAUGGUUUCAGUGUAAGAACUUAAAAAUCCUAGAUUGAGAGAAUUUUAGUGAAUGGAAGGUGCAUGUGUAGUCAUCUGGUUCAACCAUUAAAAUCAGUGAGAAGGAAACCGAAGCCUUGGGGCAUAGUACUGAGUUAGGGCCAUAGGCUGGAUAGUACUAGAACCAAAGUCAGCUCCCCCUUCUUCAGAGCUCCCUCCAAAGUGCCCGUUGAUGCAUCUGGACAUAUAGCGUAGCAUCGCAUCCACGACUCAAGCUUUAGAGUUGGCCCAGACUGGGUUAAGGUCCUGGCUCCCCUUCUUACCAGGGAGAGUAUUUUACAUCUCUAACCAUCUCUAACCUUGUCUGUAAAAUGGAGAAAAUAAUGACAGUACUUUCCUCUUAGUGUCGUUAUAUCCGCUACACAAAUUAGUGCUCACAGAGGGCUUAGCACACAUCUGACCCUAAUAAAAUUUUGUUAGGUUCUUCCUUCAUUUAAAAGAAUACCGAACUUGUAUAAAAACAAUGCCGCAGCCUUGACAGAACAACAUCCUACACAGCUUUACGAUUACUUCUUUUGUGAACAGAACUCUGCAUUUUCUACUCAUACUUUUGAAGGAGUUCAAAAAUAUGCUGCUUUGGUAUAUUGAUUCUUUUGAGCUGAAGGCACUUGAAAAACAGCAGAUGCAGGGAGAGGCUCUCUCGGAACUGCCCUCCUCUGCCUAAAGACAGAGCCUGCAAAAGGAAUUCGAUUGUCCUAAAUCCCCAACCUGGGAGUUUCAUCCACCGGGGAAGACUGACUCCUAUCCCAGGAGAGGAGACUUCGAGUCCACACCAGCCCCAGACAAACGUUGUCACCCCCUCAUACCUCCCGUCUGCUCUUCUGAAGGCCCAUUCAUCUUUCCCCAAAGCAUUUACUCUCCCCUAAGCAACCUGCAUCUCCCUCUCCUUCUCUAUUCAGAUGGUAUAUAAGCUCUCAAGUCUCAUCUGUUUUUCAGGUGUUCGUUUUUUUUCCCGCUGUGAUGCCCUU
Long non-coding RNA from Mirounga angustirostris (Northern elephant seal), 5975 nucleotides. RefSeq lists it as uncharacterized. The transcript is spliced from 3 exons. Lineage: Eukaryota; Metazoa; Chordata; Mammalia; Carnivora; Phocidae. The record is from RefSeq and is a predicted model, not a curated record.